Molecule: long non-coding RNA, 294 nt
Filed under: Elaeis guineensis (African oil palm)
Lineage: Eukaryota; Viridiplantae; Streptophyta; Magnoliopsida; Arecales; Arecaceae
Description: long non-coding RNA (EGUI_LNC013306)
Source: RNAcentral
CUCACCAGGUGUUUUACCAUCGAGGAAGGUAUUACUAGGAUACAUGGGGAUCAAGCCCUUGGUGGCUUGGUCCAAGCUAUGUUGGUAACCUAGCCAAGUUCUGGCCUUCCCUUCUCUGCAUGAACAUAGCGCAAAAGAGUAAUCAUGCCCUCAGAAUGAAAUUUAGUUACUGCACUGAUGCCCUACUCCCAUCCCCAUGCAGUUCCUUGAGAGGCAGGUGUAAUUUAUGCAGAGAUGUAAUAUGUUCUGAUCUGCACUCUUUACAAUUAUAGUGCAGUAAGUCCCCAUGCCCAC